RNAcentral lists this ribosomal RNA (303 nucleotides) under uncultured bacterium. Its description in RNAcentral is "partial 16S ribosomal RNA". It matches the Rfam family "Bacterial small subunit ribosomal RNA", at positions 507 to 807 of the family's 1533-position model. The record is from RNAcentral.
AGCAGCAGCCGCGGUAAUACGAAGGGGGCUAGCGUUGCUCGGAAUUACUGGGCGUAAAGGGAGCGUAGGCGGAUCGUUAAGUUGGGGGUGAAAGCCCGGGGCUCAACCUCGGAAUUGCCUUCAAUACUGGCGAUCUUGAGUAUGGAAGAGGUAUGUGGAACUCCGAGUGUAGAGGUGAAAUUCGUAGAUAUUCGGAAGAACACCAGUGGCGAAGGCGGCUCACUGGACGACUGUUGACGCUGAGGUACGAAAGCGUGGGGAGCAAACAGGAUUGGAUACCCCCGUAGUCCCUGUCUCUUAUAC